Molecule: long non-coding RNA, 942 nt
Organism: Rhea pennata
Lineage: Eukaryota; Metazoa; Chordata; Aves; Rheiformes; Rheidae
Exons: 3
Source: RefSeq, a predicted model, not a curated record
CAAGAAAAAUAUCAGUUGCAGAGGAGUGAAUAAAGAGAGUGUGCUGUGGAGGAAGCAGUUGAACUACAAUAAAUCAGGAGACUGAGGCCUUGUGAGCGAUGCCCCAAACGGAUUCAGCGUGAGGAUUCGUAUCCCAGACCGGAGCUGUUCUGGUCAGACCCAUUGCACGUUUGCAGCUGAGGCUCGGAUCUGCUUUACACAGCCUGUGAGAUGCAUCAUGACCAAAGCACUAAGCAAUAAAAUUCAGGCCAGGUGGACCUCUCCUGCAACCUGGGGUCGCACUUCCCCUGCACUGAGCUCGGGAGCUUUGCUUGCCAGGCCUUCAUUUAAUGACCCUGAAUAGCUCAACGAACCAUUACGUGAGUGCAGGUGAUACCGGUGUAGCGUGCUGUGCUGUUAGGAGCGGAUCCCGCUGCGGAUAGGAGACCUGGAGCAGCCGCUACCAGGUCUGGCAGUGAACUGCUUUCCCCUCUUUGGGGCAGGUGUCUCCUCUGUGGUUCCGUCUUGUCCCUGGAGGGAAAAAGGCACAUCUGGAGCAACCUCGAGCAGCAGCCAGUGCUCCUCUGAUGGACUUUUAGGGGGGACCUAGCUACCAGUGGAGACACGGGGCCAUGCCGUGUCAAGGGAGAGAGGGCUAUUUAUAGCUGAGAAAACCGAAAAGAUAGGUCUUGAAAAUAAGCAGGUUAUAAAGAUCAGUUGAAUAUUGCCAUUUUCCUCUAUAAGACGACUUUUGUUAAAACAGAAAGGCACAGUCUUUAAUAUAUGUCUAUAUUUUGCUGGCAAGGCCUGAAUCUUAGUGUUUGCUGAAAGCACAGCAAUCCUUCUACAAAAAUUUGUUUCAUAGCUGUUGCUGCUUGUAUCUACUUAGGAGUUAAAUUGCAAAAACAUUUUCAAAUAAAUCCCUCUUUUGUAUGUGCUUCUAAAUAAAAAAGAUAAAAACUC